GGUAGUGGCUCGGCGGUAGAGCGCUCGCCUAGCACGUGUGAGACCCUGGGUUCAAUCCUCAGCACCA
This 67-nucleotide transfer RNA is filed under the name Marmota monax (woodchuck). RNAcentral's name for it is "tRNA.Ala". It matches the Rfam family "tRNA". From Rfam's summary of the family: Transfer RNA (tRNA) molecules are approximately 80 nucleotides in length. Their secondary structure includes four short double-helical elements and three loops (D, anti-codon, and T loops). Further hydrogen bonds mediate the characteristic L-shaped molecular structure. tRNAs have two regions of fundamental functional importance: the anti-codon, which is responsible for specific mRNA codon recognition, and the 3' end, to which the tRNAs corresponding amino acid is attached (by aminoacyl-tRNA synthetases). tRNAs cope with the degeneracy of the genetic code in two manners: having more than one tRNA (with a specific anti-codon) for a particular amino acid; and 'wobble' base-pairing, i.e. permitting non-standard base-pairing at the 3rd anti-codon position. Lineage: Eukaryota; Metazoa; Chordata; Mammalia; Rodentia; Sciuridae. The record is from RNAcentral.